Non-coding RNA from Bos taurus (domestic cattle), 72 nucleotides. Lineage: Eukaryota; Metazoa; Chordata; Mammalia; Artiodactyla; Bovidae. The record is from Rfam.
UCCCUGGUGACUAAGAUAGUAAAGAAUCUGCCUGCAAUGCAGGAGACCCAGGCUUGAUCCCUGGGUAGGGAA